GCGCUUGUACGCGAACAAGUGACUCGACGUGCAUCGAAGGACAUUGACGCAGCCGCCUAGCGCGUAGCCUUCGCUACCACGGUCGCUCCAACGGUAUACGCGCGCUCUGAUUGGUCGGGAUUUUUUCUUAAUAUCUCCUUAACGAAGCCCCAUCUGACAUUUUUGCAAAGGAAAUUGUUGCUCAGAAUCGUCUCAGCUACUCCCCAUUUCCAGCUACUACGCGAGUUUUGGGACACCCUGUACACUGAUAGGUUUCUCUGAACGUAUGUCCAGAGUAUACGUGCACAGCACUCAAUUGGUAAAACGAAAAAAAAAGGUUAAACCAUUGUAAUUGAAGAGAUAAAAGAUAAAUCUUAAGCGCAUGGAAUGGUUUAGUUUUAUCGAUUUUUGUUUGCGCGUGAUCUGAAAUAAUCGGAAAACCAAUUUGUAGGAAACUAACGUUAAUAUUUAAAAUUAUUCAUCACGUUGCCAAUAAUAAAACGAAUGCUGAAUCAAAGCUAACAUAAUGAGGUUUAGUAAAAUUCUGUGCCAUUGUCGUUUCCGUUUUACUAUAUAAGGAUAAAAGUACACAUAAAUAUGUAGAGAUCUCCCUUCGUCUUUUUCUACCGUUAACUCGGGAUAAUGAAAUAAUUUAACGGAUAAAAUUGAAAGUGUAAUCAUCGAAGUGUCAAAAACAAAUAUUGCGUACGAAAUUCGACGGUGUCCUUUCUUUAUAGACGAAAGAGAAUAUCAUGUGCAAAUUACGUUCACGCAUGAAAUGUCCUCAAGAUUGAAACUCCUCAAGAUUGAUAACGCUAUGUUCAAACGCGUAUCGAUUAGAAGAGACGGCCAAACAGUGCCAAACAGAGGUAUCGGACGAAGUCCGGACGAAGGGAAGAAAGCAAUUAAACCCGAACGUUCGAGUGUCAGGGCUAUUUCUUUUACUUGGUGCCUUUGGCGUCGUCGGAUCGAGAUUUGUUCGGGGAUCGUCUUUCAUUAUCUUGUAAAAAGUGAAAGCUAUCAUUGAAGCGAGCGUAGUUUGCAAAUAGCGAGAGUCUCCCAUGUUCAUCGACGUCGCGAGAACUGAUGACGAUUGAACUUUGCGUAAGGGUUUCCCAUUCGUUGUCGUGACGCAGCUAACCAGAUUCUACCCUCACGUUCGUUUCGCUACUCUGUUGUAAACGAGGAACGAAUCGUGUUCCUCGUUUUAACGAUAUAUAAUGCAUCAUCGUCAUCGUCAAAGAAUGUAUCAUCUAUUUUCAUAGAGCGUUAAAGCCGCACGACGAAUUAUUGUACGGGUGUGAAUCGUUGUCACCAUUUGCUCUUCGGAUUACGGGCAUGACAAAUGGUUUUGUUUACGGAAAAUUGCUGCGAUGUUGUACGAUAUUAUUCCCGAUGGGUUCUCGGGUGUGAGUGACCGGUUGAAGGCAAGGGAGAGGAGAGGACGGUAGCUCACCGUCACUGCCUGCAGCGUUUUGGUUGUGCUGAGAAUAUAUGCGGGUCUUGGCACCGCUGGACUCUGCGUGGUGUCGCAAUCGUUUAUAAAGAGAGCGAGAGAGAGAGAGGGAAGAAAAAGAAUUGCUUCUUUUGUUAAGUUUUCGAACAUUAUUAUUGAUAACACGGUUUACAUUAUAUUGAUUAACGCGUGUAUGAUACGUAGAUACGAAGAAUUACAUUACAACAUAUUAUUGAGAUCUUUGCCACUUACGACGACUGAUGAGCAGACUACGCGAAUUCUUUCUAUGCGUAAAUCGUUCGUUGCGUCGAUUAUAGACAUAUACUUCCGCUGUUUGUUUUUACACGAUAAAAGGAAAUGAAGGAUCAUGCAUAAUAAUUCAUUGUAAACUCGAAAGGUGUCAUCGUGAGGAUUUCCGCGUCAGUGACCAUGCGCGAAAUGUUUCCACAAUUUUCGACCGUUGGAAACGAAUGUUGAUUCGAAUUAUUUUAAACAAUUGAGCAAUUUCGAUUGGAUAAAGCAUAUGGGCUAGAAUUGACAAGAUUUUGUUACAAAUGAAGAAUACAAAUUCGAGAGUUAUUCGCGAAAUUAAAAACAACUGAAACCUUGAAA
Long non-coding RNA from Hylaeus anthracinus, 2047 nucleotides. RefSeq lists it as uncharacterized. Lineage: Eukaryota; Metazoa; Arthropoda; Insecta; Hymenoptera; Colletidae. The transcript has 2 exons. The record is from RefSeq and is a predicted model, not a curated record.